GUGCUUGCUUAGGCAGCACAUAUACUAAAACUGGGAUGACGCAGAGAUUAGCAUGGCCCCUGCGCAAGGAUGAAAUGCAAAUUCGUGAAGUGUUCCAUAGUUUU
This is a small nuclear RNA of Lagenorhynchus albirostris (white-beaked dolphin), 104 nucleotides long. The record is from RefSeq and is a predicted model, not a curated record. Lineage: Eukaryota; Metazoa; Chordata; Mammalia; Artiodactyla; Delphinidae.